GUGUUUUCUCUGUUGGUAUUGGUCAAUUCAAGGCAACAUUAAAGUCUGUGAACACCACCAAGAUUUGAAUGACUCCAUCUUAACCUAGGAGAUGAUGUCAGCUGAAAAGACUUGAAGACUGCAGAUGAAUCAAAGGCAGGAGUGUCUCCAUGGCUGGGGAAAGAAAUCAUCUGAAGUCAUCUUCAUUCACAUGUUUAGCUGUUGAUACUGCCUGUUGUCAGGACUCUCAGCUGGGGCUGUCCCAUGGAAACUUAUGUAUGGCCUCUCCAUGUAGCCUGGGUUGCCUCACAGCAUGACGGCCUUGGACAUCUUACCUGGUGCUCAGGGCUCCAAAGGGGCUGGUGCUGUAUGCUUUUGGAUAGUAGAUGGAGGAAAACAAGAAAAAGUGGUCAUGGUGCAAUAGUCAUCUGAUACUUUCAACAUUUACCAUGGCUUCCAUUCGCUCUACAGACUCCAGAUGAACUCGGUUUUCCAAUAUCAACUCUACCAAUCCCUACCCUCCAGUACCAGGACGUUCAGCAUAGCUGAAGGAUGUCACAAAAUUAUGAUGUAGUAUUCUCUAUGUUUUUCUUAAGUUGUAACUUCACUUAAGUUUCAUAGGUACUUAGCAAUUUUUGUAUACUUCUUGCUGCAAGAAUCAUGGUGACUGUUUCAAGGAUCUUACAAUUUGCUUUUGCCAUUUAGUAUAGUCUGCCUUAUGUUUUAUGUGUGUGUGUUUGUAUGUGUAUAAUUUCUGACUACAUCCUAGAGCUUGGUCCUAAGUUUUAAUAAAUUUUUACAGCCUCUAAGUCCAUAUUUAUUUAACAAAUAUUUAUUGAAUA
This 821-nucleotide long non-coding RNA is filed under the name Homo sapiens (human). RNAcentral describes it as "HSALNT0192966". Lineage: Eukaryota; Metazoa; Chordata; Mammalia; Primates; Hominidae. The record is from RNAcentral.